AAAGAACAGGGAGAGGAGGAGGAGAGAAAACAGACGGACCCUGGGUUAGUCCUGAUCUACAACUGAGGAAAGAGUGAUCUGACUGAAGAAGGACUCUGACAGAUAUCGUCAGAACCUGGAAGUACUGAACUGUGAACGCCCUUCCAUCCCAUCAGAACCUGCUGCUGUCAAACCACAGAACUUCUACAGUCAGAGCAGGUUCUAGAAGUGGUCCACAGGUUCAGGAACCAGAUCCAACAGGGCUCUGGAACCAUAGUGGGUUCAGGAGUCUGAGUGGUUCAGGUUUAGGCAGAGUUCAGGACCUGGUUCAGUAUUAACAGUGUCAGCAGUGGGUGGGGGGGGGACUCCUGCUUUCUCCUCUGACUUCAGGACUGACAGUGUGUUCCAGAAUGGGACCCAGACCCAGGUCCAGGUCCAGAUCCAGGUCCAGGUCCAGGUUUCCAUCUGUGCCACUGGUCCUGGUAGUAUUUUUGGUGUUUGCUGAUCCUGUAUUGUGCCGCAGUAACUCCUCUGGAUCUGAUCUGAUGAUGUCGGACCAGGCGGACCUCCACCACACUGAGCUCCCACUUGGACCAGGGCCGGACCAUCGGGUCCAGACCUCGGCCCAAGACCCAGAUCAGGUUCAAGAAACUCUGGACAAACCUCCAUCCUCACUGGAUCUCAGACGGUCCAAACCCAAAGAUGAG
This is a long non-coding RNA of Sphaeramia orbicularis (orbiculate cardinalfish), 686 nucleotides long. RefSeq lists it as uncharacterized. The record is from RefSeq and is a predicted model, not a curated record. The transcript is spliced from 2 exons. NCBI's taxonomy places the organism in Eukaryota, Metazoa, Chordata, Actinopteri, Kurtiformes, Apogonidae.